This 253-nucleotide ribosomal RNA is filed under the name uncultured bacterium. RNAcentral describes it as "partial 16S ribosomal RNA". It matches the Rfam family "Bacterial small subunit ribosomal RNA", at positions 524 to 776 of the family's 1533-position model. The record is from RNAcentral.
UACGGAGGGUGCAAGCGUUAAUCGGAAUUACUGGGCGUAAAGCGUACGCAGGCGGCUUUUUAAGUCGGAUGUGAAAGCCCCGGGCUCAGCCUGGGAAUUGCAUCUGAUACUGGGAAGCUAGAGUAUGUGAGAGGGGGGUAGAAUUCCAAGUGUAGCGGUGAAAUGCGUAGAGAUUUGGAGGAAUACCAGUGGCGAAGGCGGCCCCCUGGCACAAUACUGACGCUCAGGUGCGAAAGCGUGGGGAGCAAACAGG